CUGGCGGCGUGCCUAACACAUGCAAGUCGAGCGGAGACUUCAAGUAGCAAUAUGAGGAUGUUUUAGCGGCGGACGGGUGAGUAACGCGUGAGUAACCUGUCCCAAACUGGGGGAUAACGAGCCGAAAGGCUCACUAAUACCGCAUAAGACCACGAGGUCACAUGGCUUUGAGGUCAAAGGAGCAAUCCGGUUUGGGGUGGACUCGCGUCUGAUUAGCUAGUUGGUGGGGUAACGGCCUACCAAGGCGACGAUCAGUAGCCGACCUGAGAGGGUGAUCGGCCACAUUGGAACUGAGACACGGUCCAAACUCCUACGGGAGGCAGCAGUGGGGAAUAUUGGGCAAUGGAGGAAACUCUGACCCAGCAACGCCGCGUGAAGGAAGAAGGUUUUCGGAUCGUAAACUUCUAUCCUUGGUGAAGAUAAUGACGGUAGCCAAGAAGGAAGCCCCGGCUAACUACGUGCCAGCAGCCGCGGUAAUACGUAGGGGGCAAGCGUUGUCCGGAAUGAUUGGGCGUAAAGGGCGCGUAGGCGGCCUGGUAAGUCUGGAGUGAAAGUCCUGCUUUUAAGGUGGGAAUUGCUUUGGAUACUGUCGGGCUUGAGUGCAGGAGAGGUAAGUGGAAUUCCCGGUGUAGCGGUGAAAUGCGUAGAGAUCGGGAGGAACACCAGUGGCGAAGGCGACUUACUGGACUGUAACUGACGCUGAGGCGCGAAAGUGUGGGGAGCAAACAGGAUUAGAUACCCUGGUAGUCCACACUGUAAACGAUGAAUGCUAGGUGUAGGGGGUAUCGACCCCUUCUGUGCCGGAGUUAACACAAUAAGCAUUCCGCCUGGGGAGUACGGCCGCAAGGUUGAAACUCAAAGGAAUUGACGGGGGCCCGCACAAGCAGCGGAGCAUGUGGUUUAAUUCGAAGCAACGCGAAGAACCUUACCAGGUCUUGACAUCCAGUAAAAUCUGUAGAGAUACAGUGUGCCUUCGGGCGUACUGAGACAGGUGGUGCAUGGUUGUCGUCAGUCGUUCGGAGAG
Molecule: ribosomal RNA, 1024 nt
Filed under: uncultured bacterium
Lineage: Bacteria
Description: bacterial SSU rRNA
Rfam family: Bacterial small subunit ribosomal RNA
Source: RNAcentral